GCCUGGGUAGCUCAGGGGUAGAGCACCGCUCUGAAAAAGCGGGUGUCGGAGGUUCGACUCCUCCCCCAGGCA
Molecule: transfer RNA, 72 nt
Filed under: Candidatus Palauibacterales bacterium
Lineage: Bacteria; Pseudomonadati; Gemmatimonadota; Gemmatimonadia; Candidatus Palauibacterales
Also listed under: 1 other name
Description: tRNA-Phe
Rfam family: tRNA
About the family: Transfer RNA (tRNA) molecules are approximately 80 nucleotides in length. Their secondary structure includes four short double-helical elements and three loops (D, anti-codon, and T loops).
Source: RNAcentral